RNAcentral lists this ribosomal RNA (274 nucleotides) under uncultured bacterium. Its description in RNAcentral is "partial 16S ribosomal RNA". It matches the Rfam family "Bacterial small subunit ribosomal RNA", at positions 523 to 796 of the family's 1533-position model. The record is from RNAcentral.
AUACGGAGGGUGCAAGCGUUAAUCGGAAUUACUGGGCGUAAAGCGCGCGUAGGCGGCUUAUUAAGUCAGAUGUGAAAUCCCCGGGCUCAACCUGGGAACUGCAUCUGAUACUGGUAAGCUAGAGUUUGAGAGAGGGAAGUAGAAUUUCAGGUGUAGCGGUGAAAUGCAUAGAGAUCUGAAGGAAUACCAGUGGCGAAGGCGACUUCCUGGCCAAAAACUGACGCUGAGGUGCGAAAGCGUGGGUAGCAAACGGAAUUAGAAACCCCAGUAGUCC